GACGAACGCUGGCGGCGUGCCUAACACAUGCAAGUCGAACGAAGCAUUUAAGUGAAUCCCUUCGGGGUGAAGCUUUUAUGACUUAGUGGCGGACGGGUGAGUAACGCGUGGGUAACCUGCCUCGUACAGGGGGAUAACAGUUAGAAAUGACUGCUAAUACCGCAUAACCCGCUAAGGUCGCAUGACCUGGACGGAAAAGAUUUAUCGGUACGAGAUGGACCCGCGUCUGAUUAGCUAGUUGGUGAGGUAACGGCCCACCAAGUCGACGAUCAGUAGCCGGACUGAGAGGUUGAACGGCCACAUUGGGACUGAGAUACGGCCCAGACUCCUACGGGAGGCAGCAGUGGGGAAUAUUGGGCAAUGGGGGAAACCCUGACCCAGCAACGCCGCGUGAAGGAAGAAGGCUUUCGGGUUGUAAACUUCUUUACCUAGGGACGAAGACGUGACGGUACCUGGAGAAAAAGCCACGGCUAACUAACGUG
This 482-nucleotide ribosomal RNA is filed under the name uncultured bacterium. RNAcentral's name for it is "bacterial SSU rRNA". It matches the Rfam family "Bacterial small subunit ribosomal RNA", at positions 28 to 507 of the family's 1533-position model. The record is from RNAcentral.